Long non-coding RNA from Prunus mume (Japanese apricot), 1780 nucleotides. RefSeq lists it as uncharacterized. Lineage: Eukaryota; Viridiplantae; Streptophyta; Magnoliopsida; Rosales; Rosaceae. The record is from RefSeq and is a predicted model, not a curated record.
AAAUCAUCUGUGUCUGUCUUGAUUCCUGAACCAUCUGACAAAAUGGGAGAGGGGUGUUACGGCUAUGCCUGCUCUCUAAUAUUCGACUGCGCUCGAGCUGCCUGCUUGUCAAAUCACAGAUUCCAGGCUGGCUUUGGCUCAUUAGAGAUCUCGUAUCCACCCCCUCACUUGUUGCGUGAGGCCCACGCUAUUCUUCCCCUUUCCCACGGCGUUGUCCGACUGUGGCAGCUCUCCUUCUUACUCCAGAUGUGUUGGUUGGUGGCUUAGAAUCAUAAAAUUCUCUAAUAAUUUUGGCCCUGGUCCAAUUUCCAUAGGCCGUUUCAUUUGCAGAUGGUUCCUCGAAACGGCAAGCAUCCAUAGAAUGUCCAAUUCGGCCGUAUCGGUAGCAUAAAUCAGCAAGCCUCUCGUACUUACUCAACCCAAGUCUCCGUGCCGUCAGCCCUGGGCAGCCAGAAACCGGCAAGAAGUGGCAGGUUUAACGGGAUUCCACGGAUCUGGAUCCAGUGCGGAAUGAUGUCCACCUCAACUUCCUCUAUGGCAAGAUUUGGAGGCCAUCUCUUGACAUAGAAACAACAUUUCAUAAUGGACUAGGGUCCAUUGUCAGUAAUCUUGCUGGCCAUUUCUUCACCUAUAACGGUGAUGGAGAAAAGGUUCUCCCUAACCCAUACUAUCUUAGCUUCCCCAUAGUCUUUCCAGGCUGCUUUCAGAAUGCUCUUUAUUGCCCCAUUGUUUGGUAGUUUCUGGGAAAUCACAGCGCCAACAAGUUUCGGCCCCUCUUCAAAAUUAGUUAUUCACAGCACCUCCUCCAAGUGCUCACUGAGUUCGUCUGGCGUGGGUCUGGUCUGUACACUCCUUUGGCUACUUCUUUUGAUCUCACUCAUUAUUGGUGUGGGGUUACUUUCUGGAUAGACUAUGGAUUUUUGAAAUGGUUUGGGGUGUGGUAGAUGGUGUUCGUGUGGCUGUUUUAGUAAUGGGUAAGGUUGCAAACUAGUAUAGUGAGGAUGUUUGUGGUGGUAUAUGUGCUUCAGCUUGAUGUGGUGCAGAUGCUUAUGAUUCUUGAAGGUGUGAUGAAAGUAAAUGGCUAUAGCCGUUAUAUAUAGUAUUGAGGAGAUCUGGUUGUUGGGGAAUUCAUGGUGCGUACCUUUUCUUCUUAAAUUUGUUUGUCGUAGAUUGUUGGUGUUCAUCCCUAUAGGGGUAGCUCGAAGCCAAAAUGGGGCGCAAGAUUUUGAGCAAAGGAGAAAAUAAGGGAGGAAUUACUAAGGCAAAAAAAUCUUAUGCAAAUCAGCUUGUCUCAGUCACCAGAUUUCCAGAGUUGCAUUGAAUGUUUGUUGGUUGGUGGGGAAUAAAAGCAGUGGUCGGUGUUUAUAAGAAAGAAUGAGAACUGAGGCAAAAAGAUCUAAUGCAAAACAGCUCGUCUCAGUCACCAGAUUUCCAGAGUUGCCUUGAAUGUUUGUUGGUUGGUGGGGAACAAAAACGGUGGUUGGUGUUUAGAAGAAAGAAUGAGAGGAGCGGAGGCAUAAAUGGUAACAGAGGAUCACUCAGUUGGAAUAAAUGCUAAAGCAAAAGGGGAGUCAAACCCAAAAACCAGUCAUAGUCGCCGGAUUACUUCCAAUUUCGCAAUGAAUGUUUGAUUGAUGGUAGGAUUAAAGGCGAGAAUCACCAGUAAAAAGUACGGUGAAGGAAAACUCCCACCAGGGGGAGAGGAGCUCCCAAGCAGAGGGAGAGAAAUUUUUUUUCUUGUUCCAAUGUGUUAUAUAUGAUGAACUUCUGCUAUUUUUUU